UAAAUAUUUUGAAUGUCGAAAAUAUAUAAAUGAAGUAUGAAUGUGUAAAGGUAUACAUUCAUACUUCAUUUAUAUAUUUUCGACAUUCAAAAUAUUUA
Paramuricea clavata is the source of this 98-nucleotide non-coding RNA. The record is from the annotation of a GenBank genome assembly. NCBI's taxonomy places the organism in Eukaryota, Metazoa, Cnidaria, Anthozoa, Malacalcyonacea, Plexauridae.